RNAcentral lists this unclassified non-coding RNA (211 nucleotides) under fungal sp. RNAcentral's name for it is "partial internal transcribed spacer region". The stretch from base 1 to 46 matches the Rfam family "Eukaryotic small subunit ribosomal RNA", at positions 1786 to 1831 of the family's 1831-position model. The record is from RNAcentral. Lineage: Eukaryota; Fungi.
AAGUCGUAACAAGGUUUCCGUAGGUGAACCUGCGGAAGGAUCAUUACUGUAUGGGCUAUCCCAUCGAGAUGAUACCCUUUGUCUAUAAGUACUUGUUGUUUCCUCGGCAGGCUUGCCUGCCAAUGGGGACUACUUUCAACCCUUUGUAAUAGCAGUAGCUUCUGAUACUAGUAAUUAUUUACAACUUUCAACAACGGAUCUCUUGGUUCUG